Molecule: ribosomal RNA, 468 nt
Filed under: uncultured bacterium
Lineage: Bacteria
Description: partial 16S ribosomal RNA
Rfam family: Bacterial small subunit ribosomal RNA
Source: RNAcentral
GACGAACGCUGGCGGCGUGCUUAACAUAUGCAAGUCGAACGGAAAGGCCCUGCUUUUGUGGGGUGCUCGAGUGGCGAACGGGUGAGUAACACGUGAGUAACCUGCCCUUGACUUUGGGAUAACUUCAGGAAACUGGGGCUAAUACCGGAUAGGAGCUCCUGCUGCAUGGUGGGGGUUGGAAAGUUUCGGCGGUUGGGGAUGGACUCGCGGCUUAUCAGCUUGUUGGUGGGGUAGUGGCUUACCAAGGCUUUGACGGGUAGCCGGCCUGAGAGGGUGACCGGCCACAUUGGGACUGAGAUACGGCCCAGACUCCUACGGGAGGCAGCAGUGGGGAAUAUUGCACAAUGGGCGGAAGCCUGAUGCAGCAACGCCGCGUGCGGGAUGACGGCCUUCGGGUUGUAAACCGCUUUCGCCUGUGACGAAGCGUGAGUGACGGUAAUGGGAAAAGAAGCACCGGCUAACUACGUG